AUUGAACGCUGGCGGCAGGCCUAACACAUGCAAGUCGAACGAGUGGCGGACGUGUGAGUAAUGUCUGGGAACCUGCCUGAUGGAGGGGGAUAACUACUGGAAACGGUAGCUAAUACCGCAUACCAUCGGAUGUGCCCAGAUGGGAUUAGCUAGUAGGUGGGGUAAAGGCUCACCUAGGCGACGAUCCCUAGCUGGUUUGAGAGGAUGAGCAGCCACACUGGAACUGAGACACGGUGCAGACGCCUACGGGAGUCCGCAGUGGGGAAUAUUGCACAAUGGGAGCAAGCCUGAUGGCUCCAUGCCGCGUGUAUGAAGAGGGCCUUCGGGUUUUAAAGUACUUUCAGCGGGGAGGCGUUACCCGCAGAAGAAGCACCGGCUAACUCCGUGCCAGCAGCCGCGGUAAUAC
This 406-nucleotide ribosomal RNA is filed under the name uncultured bacterium. Its description in RNAcentral is "partial 16S ribosomal RNA". It matches the Rfam family "Bacterial small subunit ribosomal RNA", at positions 30 to 526 of the family's 1533-position model. The record is from RNAcentral.